RNAcentral lists this ribosomal RNA (253 nucleotides) under uncultured bacterium. RNAcentral's name for it is "partial 16S ribosomal RNA". It matches the Rfam family "Bacterial small subunit ribosomal RNA", at positions 524 to 776 of the family's 1533-position model. The record is from RNAcentral.
UACGAAGGGGGCUAGCGUUGCUCGGAAUUACUGGGCGUAAAGGGAGCGUAGGCGGACAGUUAAGUCAGUGGUGAAAGCCCAGGGCUCAACCCUGGAAUUGCCUUUGAUACUGAUUGUCUUGAGUAUGGGAGAGGUAUGCGGAACUCCGAGUGUAGAGGUGAAAUUCGUAGAUAUUCGGAAGAACACCAGUGGCGAAGGCGGCAUACUGGCCCAUUACUGACGCUGAGGCUCGAAAGCGUGGGGAGCAAAUAGG